CGGGGCGUAGCUCAGCUUGGCUAGAGCGCCUGGUUUGGGUCCAGGAGGCCGCCGGUUCAAAUCCGACCGCCCCGACCA
This 78-nucleotide transfer RNA is filed under the name Bryobacteraceae bacterium. Its description in RNAcentral is "tRNA-Pro". It matches the Rfam family "tRNA". Rfam says of the family: Transfer RNA (tRNA) molecules are approximately 80 nucleotides in length. Their secondary structure includes four short double-helical elements and three loops (D, anti-codon, and T loops). The record is from RNAcentral. Lineage: Bacteria; Pseudomonadati; Acidobacteriota; Terriglobia; Bryobacterales; Bryobacteraceae.